ACCCCGCGCCGACCGGCCCCGGUGCGCCCAGCGGAGCGGAGCGGAGCGCGCGGAGGGAGGAGUUUUCCCAGAAUGGGACUGACGGGAAAACACGGGGAUCCCUAUUCCUGGAGGAAUCCAGCCUGGUGCCUGGGAUAGGGAAGUGCAUGAUAAAUGCUGCAUAAAUGAAAAACAAUUGCUACCGUGGAAGAUAUUGAAAGGAAAGUGCUAUCGAUGCCAAAGUUGUUUCCAAGAGAGGUAUUCCAAAAGUGUUUCAAGCAAUGACUGAGCUAAGCAUCCAGUCCUGCAAGGUGAAGGCGUUGAAGACGCAGCCCUCAUUUGAAUAGAUGAAUUGUGGUAUUCUUGUUAAAUAAUGAAUCAUAUCAAGGCUUGGUCACACCUCAUGCACAUGAAA
This 394-nucleotide long non-coding RNA is filed under the name Homo sapiens (human). RNAcentral describes it as "non-protein coding lnc-FOXM1-2:4". Lineage: Eukaryota; Metazoa; Chordata; Mammalia; Primates; Hominidae. The record is from RNAcentral.